RNAcentral lists this ribosomal RNA (497 nucleotides) under uncultured bacterium. Its description in RNAcentral is "partial 16S ribosomal RNA". It matches the Rfam family "Bacterial small subunit ribosomal RNA", at positions 28 to 507 of the family's 1533-position model. The record is from RNAcentral.
GAUGAACGCUGGCGGCGUGCCUAAUACAUGCGAGUCGAGCGAACGGACGAGAAGCUUGCUUCUCUGAUGUUAGCGGCGGACGGGUGAGUAACACGUGGAUAACCUACCUAUAAGACUGGGAUAACUUCGGGAAACCGGAGCUAAUACCGGAUAAUAUUUUGAACCGCAUGGUUCAAAAGUGAAAGACGGUCUUGCUGUCACUUAUAGAUGGAUCCGCGCUGCAUUAGCUAGUUGGUAAGGUAACGGCUUACCAAGGCAACGAUGCAUAGCCGACCUGAGAGGGUGGUCCGCCACACUGGAACUGCGGCACGGUCCAGACUCCUACGGGAGGCAGCAGUAGGGAAUCUUCCGCAAUGGGCGAAAGCCUGACGGAGCAACGCCGCGUGAGUGAUGAAGGUCUUCGGAUCGUAAAACUCUGUUACUAAGGAAGAACAUAUGUGUAAGUAACUGUGCACAUCUUGACGGCACCUAAUCAGAAAGCCACGGCUAACUACGUG